AUUUUGCGGUGGUUUCUGACGUACAACAAGUAAGUCAAACUUCCUUUGUUGCCUGGUCUUAGACUUCUUGUGCUGUGCUAGACGAGCCUUCUCAGUGAAGUCAAACACCUUUUUAAGAGUAUUCUCAUCUAGAAGCAUUGUCAGUCUCCGUCGGAUCCGCUCCUCUUGAGAUUUUAGCAUGUCGAUGGUAAAAUUUGUCUGCCUCACCCGUUCAUUAAGCAACUUAUGCUGUGCUAGUUAGCCAUCCUCAGAUGAGAGCAUAGGAGCAUGCAGGUGACUUCUCAUGUGGUCCGCUAUCCUUCUCUCUCCCUUGAAGGUGUUCAUGCAGAAGUCCAGAAAGUGAAGUUGCUGUACUGUUUUAUGUUUAUUUUGAACAGUUUGAACAGUUCUGGGAGAAUAAAUCUGCCCCAGCUGGCAAAGAGAGAGCUGAAUCCUCUGGUUAUUUACACAACACAACGCAGAGAACUAACGGCAAACGGAGUUUAAGGCCAGACCGGCUACAUAAGCAAUGAGCCAAAUUUAGUAAUGCCAACAUACUGAAGGAACAACAUUUGUCUCUUAUAUAUGAUACACCUAUAUAUGCACUGUCAAAGAUACUUGUCUUUGAGUGAAGAUUUAAGGUGAUAAGACAUAUCAAUAACUGCAACUUGAAUCUGUACUGAGGCUCAGUAUUUGACACAGAGUUCAUGUUCACUGCUGUAAUAGCUAAUAAUGAUUAAUAUAACUAUAAUAUUGGCC
RNAcentral lists this long non-coding RNA (738 nucleotides) under Oreochromis niloticus (Nile tilapia). RNAcentral describes it as "lncRNA (ENSONIG00000032232.1)". Lineage: Eukaryota; Metazoa; Chordata; Actinopteri; Cichliformes; Cichlidae. The record is from RNAcentral.